UGAGCCUUUCUCUCUUAGCU
This 20-nucleotide microRNA is filed under the name Monodelphis domestica (gray short-tailed opossum). RNAcentral describes it as "mdo-miR-12346-5p". Lineage: Eukaryota; Metazoa; Chordata; Mammalia; Didelphimorphia; Didelphidae. The record is from miRBase by way of RNAcentral.